CACAGGCUCCUUCCUUGCCUUGCCCAGUCCUGGGCCUCCAGCCUCCCUGCCCUGAGCAUCUCUAGGGAUUUCCCUGUGCAGCUGGAAGUCAGCAGGGGGUGUCUGGCCCGAACCAGGGACAGCCCUGGGACCUCCUUGUCAGGGGAGUGGCAGCCCCUGCCUUGGGCUGAGCAUCGGGCAGAAGGGAGUUUCAGUGGCCAUGUGGAUGCUCGAGGAGCCAGGGUGCUUGGCCAUGGGUCACCUCCUGACAGAUGGAAAGCUCGC
This 264-nucleotide long non-coding RNA is filed under the name Homo sapiens (human). RNAcentral's name for it is "HSALNT0145506". The record is from RNAcentral. Lineage: Eukaryota; Metazoa; Chordata; Mammalia; Primates; Hominidae.